Molecule: RNA transcript, 11111 nt
Organism: Panicum virgatum (switchgrass)
Lineage: Eukaryota; Viridiplantae; Streptophyta; Magnoliopsida; Poales; Poaceae
Gene name: disease resistance protein RGA2-like
Exons: 7
Source: RefSeq, a predicted model, not a curated record
CAGCAGGAUGCUUUGUCCCUGCACCUGCCUUUAUCUACACCCACGGUCCAUUCCUCUCCCCUGGUCACUCGGCUCGCUUGCUUUAUCCUCGUCUUCCAUCGGCAGCUUUGCCUCUCACCAGCCUCCAGGCCCUCCAAGAAGGUCUUAUUCAGGAGCUUUGAAUGAUCACCCCAGAUAGUAACACAGGUGAAGGAGAUUGAGCAAGCAGCUGUUGAUGUAGGUGAAACGCUACUACUCGUUUCUUCGUAUAAGAUUAGCAUGUUCUUGAUUUAAUUAGCUAUAUUGCAGAGCAGCACCAAACAAGAAGGGCAGCAGUUUACAUUAUAUGCAACAAUGGAGCAUCCAGAUCUUACAUUCCGACUAUUAGAACAAAUUACAGAUAAAUUCUCUGAGGAGCGAAAACUUGGCCAAGGCGCAUUUGGAACAGUUUACAGGGUAAGAUUGUCAGCAUAUGUAUAAACCCCAGCUUAUUCUCAGUUUAGUGUGUCCUCCAAACUAUACACCUCCUGCACGGCUGCACCCCAUGGUUUGCCCAUAACAGCAUGAUGGUCAAAUACGAACCACCCCCCCCCCCCCCUUCCUAUUUAUGUUGGCGCACCAUGACCAUAUUCAGUUGUACCAAUAUGUCACAGCAAACUACAGAGGAACAGCACUAACUAACAUUUCGUCAGUCAAGUACUUAUGAUAUAUCAUGAAUAGGGGGUACACAAAAAUGGUGAAGAGAUUGCUGUGAAGAUGCUUAGAGAUAAGGACCCAGGACUUGACGACACACGUUUCGAAGAUGAGUUUCAUAAGCUUAGAAUUCUCACUCAUCCAAACAUUGUACGGUUAAUUGGCUACUGUUAUGAAACUCAUCGUGAAUAUAUAGAGCACGAGGGAGUACCGGUACUUGGUGAAAAGAUAUAUAGAGCACUCUGCUUUGAGUAUUUGCACAAUGGGAGCCUUCAAAACCAUCUAUCUGGUAUGCUGAUGCUUCAUCUUUUUUUUUUUACUAGUUUGGCCCACUUCAUAAAACUGGAUUCACUUGUGCAGAUGAAUGGCAUGGAAUUGACUGGCACACACGCUAUAAUAUCAUUAAGGGGACUUGCGAGGGUUUAAAAUACCUUCACAUUGGGUUAAAAAAUCCUAUCUACCAUUUGGAUCUCAAACCUGGGAAUAUAUUGCUUGAUAGAAAUAUGGUGCCAAAACUUGCUGAUUUUGGUUUGUCCAAGAUCUUGGAGCAAACUAGGAGCACUGACGGUAUACAUGGAACACUAGGAUACAUGCCACCGGAAUAUGUGGGCAACAAUAUUCGCUCAACAAAGUUUGACAUAUUCAGCUUAGGUGUUGUAAUCCUGGAGAUAAUAGCAGGGCCUACAGCCCGCACCAGAAUUGGCGACAUUAGUCCCAAAGAAUUUACGGGUCAGGUAAGAAAUCUAUGUUUCUUAAUCUAGAUCAAUGAUCACUAUUAUUAUCAUACUAGUCUAUCAACCCAUGCUCCCGCACGGGCUAAUAAUUUGAGAGACAUAAAUAUUAAAAUUUUAGAUAAAAUAAUUAGGCCUCAUAGCUAAUAAUCAAUUUUUUUAACCAUGAAGUGUUAUUUUAUCUGUUAAAUAUUAUAACACAGUACUUAUAGAAAUAGAUACAAUACACAUACAUAUAUGUACUUAUCUUUUACUUGAAUGUGAUAACUUUAAUUAGUAAUUACAAUUUUUCAUCCACAAUUAUUGUUUUUUUAUUUGCAUUGUGCUUCCAUAUAGAUUUAAUUGAACCCUUAGAUUAACCUAUGUGUUUAAUUAUAGAAAUCGUCAUUCUCAUCAUUUCAUCCAUGCAUAUAUCAUGGUGUACAUGGUGACACACAUCAUGCAUAUAUACCUUAAGUUACUAUUUUUUUAUAUUAACAAUGAUAAAAUUAGGUAAUAUAGAAUCACAUAUAUAUUGGUGUACUUUAGGAUUUUUUAGUAGUGAGGUAAUUUAGAUUCAGAUUUAGGAGUUACUUUAGGCUAUUUUAUUAUAAAAACAUACGUGAUUUGUAUGUAAAUUUAGGGUGCCAUUUUAAGUUAUUUUUUAUAAUGACAUAGGUGGGUAAUUUAAAUAAAGUUUAGGGGGUUAUUUUAGCUUAUUUUCCAUAAUGGUAAAGGUGGGUUAUUUUUUAGAAAACAUAAUAGAUCCAAUGGCUAUGAUGAUUCAAACUACUAGAUUGAUGACCGGAUGUUUCUAAUUUUUAUGAGAAUUUUUAAGAUUUAUCUUUUUUUUAGCGUGCUUUCUGAGGACUAGCGUGGAGGCUAUAAAAGGGGCCUCUAAUUAGUAAUAGAAAGAUAGGUAUAGCCAUAUAGGUGUGGCAUUUUGAUACAUGGAAAAGAUCUAGAGGGUUGGGAAUGGUUGACAGGGGAGAUAGAGCAUUUGGUGGCAGGUGGGCGGCGUCAGGGCCUAUGCCAGCAAGGAAAAUCCUUGCUAUCACCGGUGAGCCUAGGAAGUGGGUACCGAAAAUGUCUGCUUCACAUUCUAGACCGAUUAAAGGAUUCACAUCUGAGUUCACAAUGUAAACCAGACGGAUUCAUGUUGCUUAAAGAUGUAUUAGUUCACAUUGUACAAUAAAAGCUUGCAAAGAAGGCUCAUCUCUCAAAGGACACCAAUUGAUUGUGAAUAUUUGACAAAUCGCAUUACAUAUAAAACGUCUGCAUUCUUUUUCAACACUUCACAAUGAGAUUAGACUAAGGCCAGAUAGAAUGAUUCACGACUAAGUAGUGAUUUUGGAGGGCUUGUGUCCAACAGUCAGAAUGAUAGCCACCUGCAGUACCGCUAUCUUAGAUGUCUUUUUGUCCCAACGUUUUGUAAUGUCCCAUUGGUAUUGAUCCUUCUGCGGUACUGAAGACUUGAUGAAACCUUGAGCUGGCUUGAUAUGUCCAACGGCCUCUACACCUUGGUGUAUAUAGUCCCCUCCAUGGCCUUAGAUCCUAGUAGGAGUAGGUGUCACACGCUAGUACGAUUAGCAAUUCUAAUAACACAUUUGUUUGAGUCCUAAGACGAGUAGGAUUUGAGUCACAUUUACAGUACAAACGGCUUGAUAGCCCUUCUCAUGCCCUUAUCCCAAUCCUACCAUGCUGUAAGUUCAAUAUAUAGUACUUAAAAGCAUCCAACAUCGUGACCAUAGUAUGUUAUAUUUUACAAUUAUAGUGUCACAGUACAGCUUCUGCAUUGUGAUUUUACAGCUACAAGCCAAUUGGAAGAUUAGGUUGCAGAAAGCAUGGAGCGGUUCAUCACUAGAAGCAUAUUGCCAACAGGUAAAUACAUGCAUUGACAUCGCAUUGAAAUGCAUGGAGUCUGACAAGGAUAAAAGGCCAAAUAUAGCAAAUGUCGUUCAACAGCUGGAUGAGAUUGAAAACGAGAUUGGCAAGGUAACUAAUACCAUUAUUUUUUUUUACUAUUUAUAAAGUCAAUAUUAUGGAGGUAUAAUAAUUAUAGGGAUUUUAAGGGACACCAAUCAAGCACACAAUUCAUACAGGUCUGGGCUUCCUGUAGCAAGGAUAAUAUAGCCAUGUGUUAUGUUUGUGAUAGGAUUAUAUUGUAUAUACGGAUUAAAAUGAACUGCUAAGCCAAUAGUCCUUGUGAGAUGUGUUUAUUCUGGCUUCAGAUGAGAGUUGGGAUGGGCUAUCGUCCGUGUGUUGUGCCUCAUCCCACCUUAUAUUUUGUCACGCCAAUGGAGAGGCAUGUUUGUAUAUAUGUGGAGUUCUAGGGUUUCUUCAGAAUUUAAACAUAUCCUUCCCUUAUCUCAUAUAUACUUGUGGAUGUUAAGGAAAUGAACAUACUUAUAGAUCCACAGUUAUGCCUAUGGUGGUAAUAGUAUCCACCAUGCAGGCUAAUAUAAAGAUUAAUGCUCAGUGCAUAUAACGUAUCAGGGAUCCCAAAGACAUGGUUAAAUCAUAAUUUAUCUUUCAUUAUUGCCAUUUUGUUUUGUGUGAAUAUUAUAAAUGCACUUUUGUUAGUAAAGACUGGUGAAUAUUACAACCCUAUAGUUCUCAGGAAAAAAAAAUGUACAGUCAUAUCCUCGCUGUAUACAAAGAGGGGGUGAGCUCGAGUGGCUCCUUGAGCCCCCUCCCACGCCGGCAACCCGGGUUCGAGCCCCGGGGUUGGCACCGUUGCCCCUCCCAGUGAAAAAAAAAGAAAAGAAAAAAAUAUCCUCGCUGUAUUUCCCCCGGCUCAUUAGGGAUGUUAUUCCACAAUAUAAAUGCCUCCAGUGAUUCAAGAGUAAUAAUUAAUUGGCAAUUUUUUUGUUGCCUGAACCUGCUAAUGAUAAUGUGGCCUAUAUAUACGUAGCUUUAGACUUCUGCACUAUAUGUGGAAUAUAAGUUGUCCUAGACUUCUGAGACUUGUAUUAGAAGAGCUAUCAUAUCAUUAACUGAAUGGUAGCGUGAUCAUCAUACUCUCUGAUUGUGGUGAACAUGUCUAAAAUAACAUAGUUAGAAUUGGGCUGAUUAUUAUCUAACAGGAAAUAAAGGUUCAACUAAAAUGUUCAACUAUAUUUUGUUACUAAUUAAAUUUUGCAUUAUGAUCAAUUGCAUUCUUUUUUAUUCUUUUACAUGUGAAACUUAAUGGCAUUCUAAUCUCUUUCUGUUCAUUGCAGAGCGCCCUCCUCAGCGUCCAGUCAGUCGACCUCCAGUUCCAGUUGAACCCAAGCAAUUUGACAAUCUCGUCCUUGCUGCGUCUAACAAACAAUACUGCUGCCCGAGUUGCAUUUAGGCUGCUCACCAUGAAUUCAGAGUAUUUCUUGAGUCCACGUGGUGGUAUGGUACCUCCAAUGUCCAGCUGCGCUCUUGCUGUGACCACCACGUCCGCCCAGAAGGCACCGGAAAACUGCAAUGGGUACUUCACUCUUGAGAGUAUCAUAGCGGUCGAUGAGGGUGUACAGUAUGGAACUUGUGAUGCUGCAGACAGCUAUAACACUUUCUUUACGGAAGCCCAUAACGAUGGCCGUGUAGCCCAACAGGUGAAACUGAUGGCUUUCUACGCUGAACCGCCUGUAGCAGGAAACUCUACAACUGAGGUGGCGAAGGAACCGAAGAACAAUACAUAUCAACAGCUGGAUUUUACCAUGAUGGCAGGCCCUGACUGCAAUGAGCAGGAAUUUUAUGAUAUACGUGAGACCUCUUCAGAUGUUAUAGAAGAACUCAUUGUUGGGAGGACUGAUGAAAAAGAAAAAAUAAUGACUUCUUUAUUACAAGGUGACAGCAUGAGAGAUAGCAUCACCACUGGGGAUCUCCCCCCCGAAGUUGUUCGGAAAAAAAAAGAGAUAGCAUCACCAUCCUUCCUAUACAUGGUAUUGGAGGCAUUGGCAAGACAACAUUUGCAAAAAUGAUUUACAAUGACACAAAAUUCAAAUAUUACUCUCAAGUAUGGGUCUAUGUGUCCCCAAGAUUUGACUCAAAUAAAAUCGGUAACUCCAUAAUUUCACAGCUCACUGAAAAGGAGAGCCAACUAAAUGAGAAACAGUUGAUACGGACACGCCUCAAGAAGCUAUUAGCCGGGAAGAAGAUUUUGAUUGUUUUGGAUGACUUAUGGGAGGAUGAUCCAUAUAAAUUGUUUGAUUUGAAGACUAUGCUAAUGCUUGGUGAGACAGGCAACAUAAUAGUUAUAGUAACAACACGUGAUGAACACGUUGCUAUGGAAAUUGGAACCAUUGAGCCAUACAAGAUAGAACUCCUGACAAAGGAGUUGUGCUGGGAGAUAAUAAAACAAAAAAGUGGUUUUGAAGCUAGAGAUGACAAAGAACAGAUGAAGGAUAUAGGAAUGGAGAUUGCCUCGAAGUGUGGAGGUGUACCUUUAGCUGCUCAAUCUCUUGGAUACACAUUGCGGUCCAAGGAUUUGAAUGAAUGGGAGAAAGUUAAUGAUAGCGAUGUUUGGAAUGAACCUACUUCAAGGAAUGGAUCUUUACAAAAUCAAGUGCUUGCAGCCUUGAGGUUAAGUUAUAGUGGUAUGGAUCACCGCCUAAGGUCAUGCUUUACCUACUGUGCAAUCUUUCCAAAAGGUCACAACAUAAUUAAAGAUGAUCUAAGUCACCAAUGGAUUUCACUGGGGUUCAUCAGGCCAAUGAAAGCACCCUUCAAGAAGCACCAGCUCAGUGAGAAGUACAUUGCCAAGCUCCUGGGAAUGUCUUUCCUUCAACCUUCAAUGUCACCGCCAACUUUGUCGCAGACUUCUGGAGCAUAUUAUGAAGGUAUUACAUUCUUUACCAUGCAUGAUCUGGUGCAUGACUUCGCGAGAUUAAUAUUGGACGAUAAAAUUUUGGAUGCUAGUAAAAAAGGCAGUACUCGGGGAGGCAGCUGCCGCCAUGCAUUGCUCACUGAUUGUAGCAAACCGUUGGGAUUAUUCUUGACUUGUCCUGACAGUCUAAGGGCACUGCGUUUUCUGGACUGCGGUAAUAUUGAAUUACGUGGCGAUACGUUCUCAUCUGCAACGUCCUUGUGCAUCUUGGAUUUAAGUGAAUGCCGCAUAAAUCAGUUGCCAGAUUCUAUUGCCCACUUACAGCAUCUGAAGUAUCUGAACGCGCCAGGUAUUCGUGGUAAAUAUAUCCCGAACCAUAUUACGAGGCUCUUGAAAUUAAACUAUCUAAGCAUUAGUGGGUCUUCUGAAAUAUUAGCAUUGCCCGAGUCGAUUGGAGAAAUGGAGGAACUGGUUCAUCUUGAUUUGUCAGGUUGUUCAAAAAUAAGAAAACUGCCAGAACUGUUUGGCAAUCUUAAAAAUAUGGAACAUCUGGAUCUUUCAAAAUGCUCUGAUGUUACAGGAGUAUCAGAACAGCUGGGUAGCCUCAUGAAACUGGAAUAUUUGGACGUAUCAUACUGCAAAAAUGUUGGAAACUUACCAAGAGCGUUGAGCAGCCUCACAGAACUGCAAUAUUUGAAUUUAUCAUUCAGCUCAUACUUAAUGGGCAUCCAAGAUAGCCUCCUUGGGGACGAAGAAUCAUACAAGUAUCCUGCAGAAAAUAUUUCAAAUCCUGCAGGCGGAUCCGGGAUAGUUGGUAUUGUUGAGGCAGAGAUCUUGGGCACCCUGACCAAGGUCAAAUAUUUGAAGUUAUGUAUAGAUGGAUUUUCUACAUUAUUGCUUCCAAAGCUCCCUGAGGCUUUGGGAAGCUUUAAUGAACUGAAGUAUUUAGACUUAUCAGGUUCUUCUUCACUGUAUAAAUUGCCAUCAUCAUUUGGGAAGCUCCACAGUUUACUACAUAUUGAUUUGUCAGACUGCUAUCGUGUUGAUGGUGUACCGGAAGCCUUGACUGGCCUAAACAAGCUCAGAUAUUUGAAUUUAUCAAAUUGUUCCAUCGGUGUAAAUGAAGAACUGCCGAGUCUAAGAGGGCUACAAGAAGCAAUUGCCAAUCUCACUGAACUACGCUAUUUAAACUUAAAAAGUUGUCUUGAAACUAUAUGUGGUGACCAACGAGUAGACGAAAGCAACGCUUUCCUGGGUCACAUCAGUGCUCUUUCCUAUCUAGAGCACCUGACGCUGUCAAGAAAUGGGAAUCUUUACAGUUUACCCGAAACUUUUGGUAAGCUCAGAAAGCUGCAUAAGCUGGACCUCUCAUAUUGUUGUAACCUCAGGAAGCUGCCAGUAAGUAUAUCUGAAAUCGGCAGUCUGAGGUUUCUGAAUACGGAUGGUUGCCGCAGUUUUGAUGAGUCCACGUUACCUCAGUUCAGAAAUAGUUCUUUCUUAUUACCUCACUUUGUGGUCCUUGCCGAUGAUGGUGAAUCUAGCAGCAAUAUUAUUAAGCUCAAGGAUGAAAAUCCUCCUAUCUUGGAGAUAAGCAGGCUUGAAAGAGUCAAGUCUUCUGCAGAGGCACAGAGGAUAAAUUUGUCGGGAAAACAAAGUAUUGGAAAAAUAAAAUUUGUAUGGACAAAAGGUGCUGAGAGAUUCGUAGAGGACAUUGAAGUUUUGAAAGAACUGAUGCCACCAGCCUGUUUAGAAUACUUCGAGCUACAAGGUUACAAUGGCAUAAGGUUUCCACCCUGGGUGACGAGCAUUGAGAGUUAUUUACCUCGUAUCAUCAGGAUUUCCAUUACGGAGUUGCCCAGCUGCACGACCUUACCACCACUCGGUCAAUUAGCAAACCUUCAAGAGCUGCAUAUCGAGCAAAUGGACAGCAUUACCAAGAUUGAUGGGGAAUUGUACGGCUGCGGGGGAGCUUUUCCCAAACUGACAACCUUUCGUUUACUAAGAAUGGAAAAUCUGGAAGAGUGGAACACAGAACACCCCUGUGGUGAGGAUGGUUCACAUGUGCUCGUGUUCCCUAUAUUAACCCUUUUGGCAAUAAGUGGCUGCCCCAAGCUGAGGAUUAAACCGUGCCUGCCUAGAGGUGAGUACUUCUUGGACAUAAGGAGUUGUGAUGACCUGCUAUCACCAUUGGAAGAGAGAUACCAGGUACCUGAAUCCUCCUACCCUGCUCCGAAAGGCCUUUUUGUGCAUUACUGCGAGCAGCCUCUGCAUGAGUGGAGGUUGCUCCACCAACUCCCUGGGAUCAGUUACUUGAGCAUCGAGCAUUGCAGUGACCUCACAUGCAGCUCAACAGAGAUCAUUCGAUGUCUCUCCUCCCUCGAGACUUUAUCUGUGACAGAUUGCGAAAGCAUUACAGCGCUGCCAGACUGGUUGGGAGACCUAACCAGUCUCAUGAGACUUGAGAUAAUCAAUUGCACUGGCAUCCAAACAUUGCCAGAGAGCAUAGAGCGACUCACCAACCUCCAAGAGCUAAAAGUUUCAGGCUGCCCUGACCUAGUGCAGUGGUGUGAAUCAGAGAAAUCUAUGACGAUGCUAUCUCACAUCAAGACUAAGGAAACUAGAAAACGCAAGCUUACCUACAGUUUAGAAUCCUAUGGAAAGGCCAAGGAGCAGUAGUAGUUAGUACAACUCUGAACAUCUCCCUUGUUUUUGAAGAUCGGUACUAAUAUACUUCUCCUCCAUUCUUCAGGCAUCUUGUUUGACCGAAAAAUGAGGUUAAAAAGCUUAGUUAACUAUACCAUCGCUAUAUCACCUAGGCAUCUCCACACUUCAAUGGGGAUACCAUCAGGGCCCAUCGCUUUAACUCCUUUCAUCCUCUUCAAAGCCUCCCCGAUCUCUGCUUCCUGAAUUCCCCUCACAAAGCAUCUGUUGGUAUCGUCAAAAGAGUUAUCUAAUUCAAGAAUAGGCCCCUCAUUCUCCCCAUUAAACAACUUGUCGAAGUACUCUCACCAUCAGCCCUUGAUCUCCUCAUCCUUCACUAGAAGUCGAUCUAUCCCAUCCUUGAUGUAUUUGAUUUGGUUGAUGCCCCUUGUCUUCCACUCAUGGAUCCUAGUCAUCCUAUAAAUGUCCUUCUCCCCUUCCUUCGUGCCUAGCCGCUGAUACAGGUCAUCAUACGCCUUACCCUUUGCUACACUCGCAGCUCGCUUUGCAGCCAUUUUCGCUAAUUUAUAGCCCUCGAUGUUGGCUGCACUCCUGUCAAGGUGGAGGCGCUUGAAACAUUCCUUCUUCUCCUUAAUAACCCUUUGCACCUCGUCAUUCCACCACCAGGUGUCUUUCCCUUCCUGUUUGCCUCCCCUACUCACGCCAAACACUUCUGUGGCCACCUUCCAAACACAUAUUGUCAUCUUUAGCCACAUGUUGUCUGCAUAUUCUCCUUCUUCCCAAGGCCCCUCACCUAGUAUCCUCUCCUUAAAUGUUUGCGUCGCUUCCCCUCUAAGCUUCCACCACUUCGUUCUUGCAAUCUUGGCAUAUUUGUUCCAGUGGACACAAACCCAAAAAUGAAAGUCUGCCACCACAAGCUUGUGUUGAGGGACAACAUACUCCCCAGCCUUGAAUUGCAAAAUCCUAAGGUGAUAAUUCGGCCGGAUCAAGCUGAAAAAGGCUAAAGGAAAAAAUGUGAUCAUCGGUGAGGAAAGGUCUAAUAAAAAGAUGCCUCUGUAGACGACCAAUGGAGCUACAUUGAAGACUUCGUCGCUCGGGAGGCAAGGAUCCAAGUGUUCUAAUUCUGGUGGAACCGGUCGAACCGACCUAGCCGGUCGAACUGCCUCUGAGGCCGGUCAGACCACCAUUGCCCAAAAACUGAGGAAUCAAUAGAAGGAACAAGAGCAAAAAUCUUCACCAAGACCACAAAGGCAACCAAAUUCUGGCCAAGCGCAGGGUAAUUAUAUUGUUACACCAUACUCAUUUUUUGGGCCGAUUAUGAUGUGGUCUUGUUCAUAUCCUUAUGUUAAUAUACUUUAUAAAUGGAUUACCAAAACUCUAACUUUGAGACUUGAAAAGUUAGCUGAUAAACUGAUCCUGCAGACCCAAUCUGCCUUCCUUAAAGGGAGAAAUAUCAUGAAUGGAGUUUUGGCACUACAUGAAAUUCUCCAUGAAACUAAAACAAAAAGAGGGACUGGAGUGGUACUUAAGCUGGAUUUUGAAAAAGCUUAUGACAAGGUCAAUUGGAAUUUCCUCUUUGACUGUCUCAAAUUGUGGGGGUUUAGUGAGGUUUGGAUAAGCUGGAUCAGGGCAGUGGUUACUGGGGGUACAGUAUGUGUUAAAAUGAAUAAUGAAGAAGGACCAUACUUUGUAAGUCACAAAGGGGUCUGACAGGGAGACCCCCUGUCCCCAAUACUUUUCAAUUUUGUGGCUGAUUGUUUGGCCAGGAUGGUCAGACAAGCUCAAGUUAAUGGUCUGAUCUAUGGUCUUGCAGAGAAUUUGAUCCCUAAUGGAGUUGCCAUCCUACAAUAUGCUGAUGACACCAUUAUUUGUCUCAAAGAUGACAUUGUAGUUGCUAGAAAUAUGAAGCUCUUGUUAUACUUGUAUGAGGUCAUGUCAGGACUCAAAAUCAACUUUGCUAAAAGUGAAAUCAUCAUGAUUAAUGGUGACAAUGAUAAACACUUUGUUUAUGUAGAUCUUUUUAAUUGUCAAACAGGCAUGUUCCCUAUUAAGUAUCUAGGAGUCCCAGUGAGCCCCGGAAGACUGCAUGUUAAGGACUGGACUCCCUUGAUUGAGAAAAAUGAGAAAAAACUCUCCUCUUGGAAGGGAAGUUCCCUGUCUAUUGCUGGAAGGCUAACCCUGAUAAAUUCUAGCCUUUCCAGCACUUUCAUAUACCACAUGUCUAUGUAUCAACUUCCCAAGACCAUAACAGAGAACUUUUUUCUGGCAAA